Molecule: ribosomal RNA, 500 nt
Filed under: uncultured Myrionecta
Lineage: Eukaryota; Ciliophora; Litostomatea; Cyclotrichida; Mesodiniidae
Description: bacterial SSU rRNA
Rfam family: Eukaryotic small subunit ribosomal RNA
Source: RNAcentral
AAACUUACCAGGUCAAGACAUGGGCGUGAUUGACAGGCUAAUGACUUUUCUCGAUUCCAUGGAUGGUGGUGCAUGGUCGCACUUAGUUGGUGCAGUGAUUUGUCAGGUUUAUUCCGGUAACGAACGAGACCUCGGCCUUGUAAAUAGCUAUGCUGCUUACAGGGACAUUGGCGGCUACGCCAAGGAAGCUCGAGGCAAUUGCAGAUCUGGAAUGCCCUUAGAUGUCCUGGGUCGCACGCGUGCUACAAUGACGCCACGAACGAGCUUGCGUGAUGAAAGUUACGCAUAAUCAGCAGUCGGCGUCUUAAGGGAUAGUCUCUUGUAACGGUGGGACUCCAACUAGGAAUGUCUCGUAAGCACAAGUCAACAUCUUGUGUUGAUUACGUCCCUGCUCUUUGUACACACCGCCCGUCGCUCCUACCGAUCGGGUGUUUAGGUGAAUUUGAUGGACGUAAGGAAGUCAAAUAAACCUGAGCACUAGAGAAGAGAAGUCGAGAUCC